Molecule: long non-coding RNA, 2198 nt
Filed under: Homo sapiens (human)
Lineage: Eukaryota; Metazoa; Chordata; Mammalia; Primates; Hominidae
Description: PREDICTED lncRNA (TCONS_00151896)
Source: RNAcentral
CUAGAUUUAUGAAAAUUGAGAUAGAACUAGUCAUUGUUUUUAUUAAUCAGUUUUAUAGACUGUUACCAUGAAGUAUUUAUCUUGAUAUUAAGGUUUAAGUAAGAACCUUAAAGUUAAAAACAGCCACCCUGUUGCUAACUCAGAAAAGUUACAGCUAUUUUUAUUAAAACAACAAUAUAAUCAUAUUUAUUUAAAAACUAUAUAAACAAAGAUCAUUUUGUUUUAGGCUUUAUGACUUUAAAACAUCUAGCAGAGGCAAAUAUAAAACUGUCUGACCAGUAAACCCAGACAAAAAUGUCUGCUGACAAUUUUGAAGACAUUUCUAAUUUUAUUUUAUCCACAAUUUUAAAACCAAUUAAUUUAUCAAAGAUUUACUUAAGUCACAUCAACUAAAAAAAACUGGGGGUUAAUUACUAUACAUUUUAUAUGAGUGCUCAUUUAUUUAAACCAAUCAGAAUAAAAUUUGUUAAGGGAUUUCUGGCUGACUACACCAGCUUUUAUGUAGAUACAACAUUCAACAUAAUAUAUGUACAUACACAUAAACACAUUUAAACACAUAUACAUAAAGAUAUUAAAACUUUUAUUUUAGAAUUUUAGUCAUGAUAUAGUAAAACACGUAAAUUCACCAGUUUAUAAAAAUGAUUAGAUGCAAAUUAUUUUUCUGACAAAAUGGGCUAAGGAUAAGCUUUAAGCUUUUUUAAUAGGCAAUCUUAUAAAGGCUGUAAAUCAAAUUUGGGAUAAAGCAGUUUGAGUCACUCACCAGUGCACUAAAUUGAACAAAAAAUAGUUAACUGUGAAAGUGUGCUGAAUUAUGUGAGUAGGACCAAAAGACAAGAGUGAUUUUUAACAAGGUUUAUACAGUAUUUUCUUGGACUCAAUUCUUUGUCAUUGAAGAUAAAAAUGCUGCUAUUCUUUUUUGUAUAGGGAGGAAGGUUUUACAUGGGAAUUUAAUCUUUGCUUUAAAAAAAAAACAGUAGGAAGGUCAAAAUGACUUUGUUUUAUAUCUGCUGGUUUUCAAGUGUUUUUAUUUAAGUAGUAUGUUAGAAUAGCUGUUUAGAGAAGGAUAAAGAGGGGAUACUGUAAGAAGGGGAGGGGAAAGGUCUAGAAAAGAAAGUUUCAGCCACCUUUGAGACAGUAUUUUUUAACAAGGCAAUAUUUGUAUCCUGAAUGUGUUUUGUUUUUGUUUUUAUUUUUUUUUAGCCUCAAGAUAUCAAUGAAAUAUGCAUAUCUUAUUUGGAGUGUAUGAUUUUAUAGCCUCCAUCUUUUAGUUCAGUUUUAAGAAAAACAGACUAAAUGAUCCCUGUAAUGUUUGAAUAUGUUACUAGCUGGAGUUCCAGAAAAUAUUCUGGCAUGCCUUUGAACUUUGAGAGCUCAUUUCGUGGGUGCUCUGAUUUAAUGUCAACUAUGCAAAAGCCAAGUAAAUGCAAGCACUGAAUACACAAAGGCCAAAUAAAUACAAGACAGGACAGAAAAUAAAAUACAUGCUUACCAGUAAGAAUGAUAAGCCUUCUCCAAAGAAAGGGAAAAAUUCCCUCAUCCAAGCCUCAAGGUCCAAACCUCGCAGCUGAGGUCAACAGGGGGAAAAUAAUUCUACCCAACAGAUCUACCAAACAAGAGGGGGAAAGACCUCUCCCUAAUCAUAUCCCAAAUAAAACAGAACUCGAACCAUAUCUGAGAGUUCUGUCCAAGAGAUACUUACUGGAGGGAGAAAGGAUUACCUGUGAAAGUGGUGGGGGUGUAGGGGGUUCAAAGGGCCCCAACAUGGGUACCUCAUGCCAUAACUCCAAAGGCCAAUGAUUCUCCAUGAGGUGAGUCAGCUUUGUAUCCCACUUCUGACACCAUGCAUGUCAAAGUCAAAAUGAAAAUGUAGACACAAAACUAAAUUUAAUGUUUUGAGAAGAAAGAAUUUCAAUUCUAGGUGAUCUUUAGUAUGUCCAACAAACAAAGAGAAGGUUGAGGGUUUUAUUUAAAACUAAGAAUGUUACUUGUGGUCUUUCUUUUUUUUUUUUUUUUUUUUUUGAGACGGAGUCUCGCUCUGUCACCCAGGCUGGAGUGCAGUAGUGCAGUCUUGGCUCACUGCAAGCUCCACCUCCCGGGUUCACGCCAUUCUCCUGCCUCAGCCUCUAGCCUCCCGAGUAGGUGGGACUACAGAGGUUGAGGCAGGAGAAUGGUGUGAACCCAGGAGGUGGACGUUGCAG